AAAUUAUGGUGCACAUACAUCAUGAAGUAUUACUUAGCCAUAAAAAAGAAUGACUUUAUGACAUUUGCAAGUAAAUGGAUGGACCUGGAGACUAUCAUGCAAAAUGAAAUAAGUCAGUCCCAAGAAACCAAAGAUUGAAUGUUUUUGCUGAAAUGUGGAAGCUAACCUACAGUAAGUGGGUGUGGGGAGAGGGAAAGAAUAGAUAUUCAGUAGAUUAAACAAAGGGGAAUGAAGGAAGGGAGGGGAAUAGGAAAAGAAAAAACAGUGGAAUGAAUCUGAAAUAAUUUUCCCUGUGUACAUAUAUGAAUACACCACAGUGAAUCUCACCAUCAUUACAUCCAUAAGAAUGGGGUCCUAAUUAAAAUAAGAUAUACUCCAUGCUUGUACAAUUAUAUCAAAAUGAAUUCUAGUAUCUUGUAUAACUAAAAAGAACCAAUUAAAAAUAGGAUUCUCUUCUGCCUUCAUUCAAUCUAAUAAAUUCUAAUGCAGAGGUAUUAUGAAAAUUAAAAAAAA
RNAcentral lists this long non-coding RNA (513 nucleotides) under Marmota monax (woodchuck). Lineage: Eukaryota; Metazoa; Chordata; Mammalia; Rodentia; Sciuridae. The record is from RNAcentral.